RNAcentral lists this ribosomal RNA (1245 nucleotides) under metagenome. RNAcentral describes it as "bacterial LSU rRNA". It matches the Rfam family "Bacterial large subunit ribosomal RNA", at positions 1564 to 2818 of the family's 2925-position model. The record is from RNAcentral.
UGAAUACGAGACGCUAAGGCGUCGAAGUAGUGUAUGUCAUACUUCCAAGAAAAGCUUGCACUGUCAUAGAUAAAAAACGCCUGUACCAUAACCGACACAGGUGGGUAGGUAGAGUAUACUAAGGGGCGCGAGAUAACUCUCUCUAAGGAACUCGGCAAAAUAACUCCGUAACUUCGGGAGAAGGAGUGCCUUAUUCGUAAGGUUGCAAUAACAAGAUCCAAGCAACUGUUUAUCAAAAACACAGGUCUCCGCUAAGUCGUAAGACGAUGUAUGGGGGCUGACGCCUGCCCAGUGCCAGAAGGUUAAAGAAGUUGGUUAGCAAUUGCGAAGCUGAUAACUGAAGCCCUGGUGAACGGCGGCCGUAACCAUAACGGUCCUAAGGUAGCGAAAUUCCUUGUCGGGUAAGUUCCGACCCGCACGAAAGGCGUAAUGAUUUGGAUACUGUCUCGGAGAGGGGCUCGGUGAAAUAGACUUGUCUGUGAAGAUGCGGACUACCUGCACCAGGACAGAAAGACCCUAUGAAGCUUUACUGUAACUUGAAAUUGAAAUUGGACUUUAUUCGCGCAGUAUAGGUGGGAGGCGUUGAUUAUAAUCUUGUGGGAUUAUUGGAGCCAUCAGUGAGAUACCACUCUUGUAAUGUUAGAUUUCUAACUUUGAAUCAUUAUCUGGUCAAAGAACAGUUUCAGGCGGGCAGUUUGACUGGGGCGGUCGCCUCCUAAACGGUAACGGAGGCGUACAAAGGUUUCCUCUGAACGGUUAGAAAUCGUAUCUAGAGUGUAAAGGCAUAAGGAAGCUUGACUGUGAGACCUACAAGUCGAGCAGGGACGAAAGUCGGUCUUAGUGAUCUGACGGUACUGAGUGGAAAGGCCGUCACUCAACGGAUAAAAGUUACUCUAAGGAUAACAGGCUGAUCUCCCCCAAGAGUUCACAUCGACGGGGAGGUUUGGCACCUCGAUGUCGGCUCAUCGCAUCCUGGGGCGGUAGUACGUCCCAAGGGUUGGGCUGUUCGCCCAUGAAAGCGGUACGCGAGCUGGGUUCAGAACGUCGUGAGACAGUUCGGUCCAUAUCCGGUGUAGGCGUUAGAAUAUUGAGAGGAGCCUUCUUUAGUACGAGAGGACCGAGAAGGACAUACCUCUGGUGUACCAGUUAUCGUGCCAACGGUAAACGCUGGGUAGCUAUGUAUGGAGUGGAUAACCGCUGAAAGCAUCUAAGUGGGAAGCCCACCUCAAGAUAAGUAUUCUCAUC